CUACGGGUCGCUCCAGUGAGGAAUAUUGCACAAUGGGGGGAACCCUGAUGCAGCAACGCCGCGUGGAGGAUGACGCAUUUCGGUGUGUAAACUCCUUUUAUAUGUCAAGAAAAUGACGGUAGCAUAUGAAUAAGCACCGGCUAACUCCGUGCCAGCAGCCGCGGUAAUACGGAGGGUGCAAGCGUUAUUCGGAAUCACUGGGCGUAAAGGACGCGUAGGCGGGUUGGAAAGUCAGGUGUGAAAUCCUACAGCUUAACUGUAGAACUGCACUUGAAACUUCUAAUCUAGAGUAUGGGAGGGGGAGAUGGAAUUGGUGGUGUAGGGGUAAAAUCCGUAGAUAUCACUAGGAAUACCUAAAGCGAAGGCGAUCUCCUGGAACAUUACUGACGCUAAGGCGUGAAAGCGUGGGGAGCAAACAGGAUUAGAUACCCUCGUAGUC
This 439-nucleotide ribosomal RNA is filed under the name uncultured bacterium. RNAcentral describes it as "partial 16S ribosomal RNA". It matches the Rfam family "Bacterial small subunit ribosomal RNA", at positions 339 to 795 of the family's 1533-position model. The record is from RNAcentral.